RNAcentral lists this ribosomal RNA (409 nucleotides) under bacterium. RNAcentral's name for it is "partial 16S ribosomal RNA". It matches the Rfam family "Bacterial small subunit ribosomal RNA", at positions 355 to 776 of the family's 1533-position model. The record is from RNAcentral.
UGGGGAAUAUUGCACAAUGGGCGCAAGCCUGAUGCAGCGACGCCGCGUGAGGGAUGACGGCCUUCGGGUUGUAAACCUCUUUCAGUACCGACGAAGCGUAAGUGACGGUAGGUACAGAAGAAGCACCGGCCAACUACGUGCCAGCAGCCGCGGUAAUACGUAGGGUGCGAGCGUUGUCCGGAAUUACUGGGCGUAAAGAGCUCGUAGGUGGUUUGUCGCGUUGUUCGUGAAAACCUGAGGCUUAACCUUGGGCGUGCGGGCGAUACGGGCAGACUGGAGUACUGCAGGGGAGACUGGAAUUCCUGGUGUAGCGGUGGAAUGCGCAGAUAUCAGGAGGAACACCGGUGGCGAAGGCGGGUCUCUGGGCAGUAACUGACGCUGAGGAGCGAAAGCGUGGGGAGCGAACAGG